UUGGAGGGCAAGUCUGGUGCCAGCAGCCGCGGUAAUUCCAGCUCCAAUAGCGUAUAUUAAAGUUGUUGCAGUUAAAAAGCUCGUAGUUGAAUUUCGGGAUCAAAUUGUUGGUCGUGCUUCGGUACGCACUGGCAUUAUUGGUUCCUACCUUCUGAAGAACCGCGAUGUCAUUAAUUUGGUGUCGUGGGGAAUCAGGACUGUUACUUUGAAAAAAUUAGAGUGUUUAAAGCAGGCUUACGCUUGAAUACAUUAGCAUGGAAUAAUGAAAUAGGACGUUUGAUUCUAUUUUGUUGGUUUCUAGGAUCGACGUAAUGAUUAAUAGGGAUAGUUGGGGGCAUUAGUAUUCAAUUGUCAGAGGUGAAAUUCUUGGAUUUAUUGAAGACUAACUACUGCGAAAGCAUUUGCCAAGGAUGUUUUCAUUAAUCAAGAACGAAAGUUAGGGGAUCGAAGACGAUCAGAUACCGUCGUAAUCUUAACCAUAAACUAUGCCGACUAGGGAUCGGAUGAUGUUAAUUUUUUAAUGACUCAUUCGGCGCCUUACGGGAAAC
RNAcentral lists this ribosomal RNA (548 nucleotides) under uncultured Glomeraceae. RNAcentral's name for it is "SSU rRNA". It matches the Rfam family "Eukaryotic small subunit ribosomal RNA", at positions 548 to 1098 of the family's 1831-position model. Lineage: Eukaryota; Fungi; Glomeromycota; Glomeromycetes; Glomerales; Glomeraceae. The record is from RNAcentral.